CCUCCAGAGUGAAAACCAGAAACACCCAAGUGCAAAGUGGCUUCCUCCCCUGGACACCUCAAGAUAAAAUUGCCCCAACAAGCCGAUGAUCAGCCUAGACCAGAUAAGUUGAUGAAUCUGGGGAUGCUUUUAUAACUACUCUGCCUAUGUGAGAGCUGCCUCAGCCUGGACGGGUGCGAGGAUAUCCAGCUGUUCCUUGGGGCUUGGAGCAGGGCAGGGUGCAGAGCUCACGCCCAGGUCUCGGGGGCUGUGCUGGAGCAGGGAACCCCCGUGAGCACGAGCCAGAGAUUGGGACAUCGAACCAGCUAAGAGACAACAACCCAGUGAUGGCAGGAGUUUCCCAGAUAAUGGAACAGCUCUUCUCACCUGACCUGGAUUCUAAUACCUCGAUCUCUGACAGAUAAGUGCAGGGGUUCA
Long non-coding RNA from Catharus ustulatus (Swainson's thrush), 417 nucleotides. RefSeq lists it as uncharacterized. The transcript is spliced from 4 exons. The record is from RefSeq and is a predicted model, not a curated record. Lineage: Eukaryota; Metazoa; Chordata; Aves; Passeriformes; Turdidae.